AUGUGCUCCACCAGGAUGAUUCCUCUGACAGUGCUAUUGCUUUCAACCUUCAUGGGUAAGAGUACUGGAAGCCCUAUUGCUCCAGACACUGUAGAGAAGUAUGUUACAGAAGGAGAACAUGUUCAACUCUCCUGCAGGUACAAUGGAACUGCUUAUGGUCUGCACUGGUAUCGCCAGUUCUCCCAGUCUGUGCCAGAGUUUCUCAUUCUGGAUUAUCAAGGUGUUAUAACGAACGCAACUCCUCCAGUUCCUGGGGUAUCAAUCAGACAUGACAAGACAGCAAAGCAAGUUUCUCUGAAUAUCUCAUCUGCUGAAGUCUCAGACUCUGCUGUAUACUACUGUGCCAUGGAGCCCACAGUGUCAGGAAACCCAGCUGCACUCAACAAAAACCCUCACAGCCAAGAUGAAUGGGAAUAG
This is a non-coding RNA of Alosa sapidissima (American shad), 417 nucleotides long. The record is from the annotation of a RefSeq genome assembly. Lineage: Eukaryota; Metazoa; Chordata; Actinopteri; Clupeiformes; Clupeidae.